AUCUUGGUCAUUUAGAGGAAGUAAAAGUCGUAACAAGGUCUCCGUUGGUGAACCAGCGGAGGGAUCAUUACAGAGCUCCGAAAGGACUCCCUUAAACCAUCGCGAACCCAUCCGUACAGCGUUGCUUCGGCGGGCGGCCCCUCCCAGGGGCCGCAGGCCCCCCCUCUCCGGAGGGGGAGCGCCCGCCGGAGGGCACAAACCCUUCUGUAUUAUAGUGGCAUCUCUGAGUAAGCAAGCAAAUAAGUCAAAACUUUCAACAACGGAUCUCUUGGCUCUGGCAUCGAUGAAGAACGCAGCGAAAUGCGAUAAGUAAUGUGAAUUGCAGAAUUCAGUGAAUCAUCGAAUCUUUGAACGCACAUUGCGCCCGCUAGUACUCUAGCGGGCAUGCCUGUCCGAGCGUCAUUACAACCCUCAAGCUCUGCUUGGUGUUGGGGCCCUACAGCUGCUGUAGGCCCUGAAAGUUAGUGACGGGCUCGCUAAGUCUCCGAGCGUAGUAGAAUCCUAUCUCGCUAGGGACGGCUUGGCGGUCUCCGGCCGUUAAACACCCCCUUAUACCAAAGGUUGACCUCGGAUCAGGUAGGAGUACCCGCUGAACUUAAGCAUAUCAA
RNAcentral lists this ribosomal RNA (608 nucleotides) under uncultured Pezizales. Its description in RNAcentral is "eukaryotic LSU rRNA". The stretch from base 249 to 402 matches the Rfam family "5.8S ribosomal RNA". The record is from RNAcentral. Lineage: Eukaryota; Fungi; Ascomycota; Pezizomycetes; Pezizales.